Long non-coding RNA from Seriola dumerili (greater amberjack), 1007 nucleotides. RefSeq lists it as uncharacterized. The record is from RefSeq and is a predicted model, not a curated record. Lineage: Eukaryota; Metazoa; Chordata; Actinopteri; Carangiformes; Carangidae. The transcript is spliced from 5 exons.
UACUGUGAAGCCAGAACACAAGAGGACGUGGUAACUCCACCUUAAAUCUGACUGUUGUGGAGGUUUUGCCUAAAGCUUUGAAAUCAGCCGUCAUUGGGACAACUUCUGCCGUUUUCCUCGCUGUCAUACUCCUCUCUGCCUUCCUACUGAUAAGAACAAAGAGGACGUCCAAGCAAUCGUCUGAGCCUGGAGAGAGACCCGACUACAGUGACCAGUAUCACUCCAAUCAGUCGGAGGAACAGGUAGAACUUCACUACGCCAAUGUCCGCUUCUUGAAGAACCAGACAGAUCCUGUCUACUCCAACAUCAAUCCAGCUGGACCCCGCAGACACGAGGAGACGGAGGAGGACGAGGAGGAUGGUGUUCAGUACGCUGUUGUCAAAUUUAACAGUUCUGCCCCGAGAACCAUAAGUCAGGAAACCGAGGAAGAUCCAGCUGCAUUGUACAGUACAGUCAACAAAACCGUCUGACUCUUGUCAGCCAGUCCGUCAGUCGUUCCACCACUGUUGAACUGAAAUAUCUCCACAACCACUGGAUGGAUUGCCAUAACAUUUUGUACAGCCAGUCACAGUCUCCAGAGGAUAAAACCUUCUGACUUUAGAGAUCCUCGGACUCUAGCGCCACUCGCAGAUUGACAUUUUUGGUUUUUACCGACAUGUCUUGACAACUGUUGGAUAAAUUGUUGUAUAAAUAGUGGUACAAGAAUGCAAGGUACCACAAGGAAGAAUCCUAAUGACUUUGGGUAGUUCCCGGCUUUCAUCUGUCUAUCUGAAAUAUAUCAGCUACUUUCAUGCUCUGCAAUGCAACUAGUGGUUAAAAAGUCUCUUUAACUGACCUUUAACCUUAAAUAAAGAUUAAUGUAAACAUGACAUUUUAUAACUUGUAACUCAGAUGGCUAACAGUUUGUAAGCUUAUACUUUUUCCAUUCAAUUCAUGUAUAAUAUUUGCUAUUUAAAGCACAUUAGUGCAACAAGCAUUGUGACCCAGUUGUAGUGUCAUACUGCUGC